Molecule: long non-coding RNA, 779 nt
Organism: Chenopodium quinoa (quinoa)
Lineage: Eukaryota; Viridiplantae; Streptophyta; Magnoliopsida; Caryophyllales; Amaranthaceae
Exons: 2
Source: RefSeq, a predicted model, not a curated record
GGAAAUAAGCACCGCACUUUUGGCACCGAUUUUUGAAAACCGGUGGGAAAGAAUGGGCGGGAUUGGGAAUACAGAUAUUUGGCACCGGUUAACCGGUGCCAAUUAAAAAAAAAAUUAGAAAACCGGUGGGCUUUCGCACCGGUUCAAGCCAAACCGGUGCCAAUUAAAAAAAUUUAAUAAAAAAAAAUUCGGGCUUGUCCUUUUAUUCAUUCCCUCAUCCCCUCUAUCUCUCUCUCAUAUUCAUUCUCUCUCAUCAACCCUCCCUUAUCUCCUUUAUUUUCUGAUCUUUCAGCGCUCCUUCUCUCUCAUCUCCCUUAUCUCCAAAAUCUGCAGCUCAGAUCUCUCUAAUCUCUCGUUCUCAGAUCUCUCAUCCUCUUCCUCAUCAGUUUCUCAUCUUCUUCUUCCUCAUAUGUUCUCUCUUCCUCAUUUUAUCCUCAUUUUCGAAACCUUAGUCUAAGUUCGAAACCAUCGCCGCCGCCGCCGUUUAUACAAUAACCAGCCGCCGACGUUCAUGCAAUCACCAGCCGCCGUUCUUCUCUCCAAUAAUUAUUAGAAAAUCAAAAUUUAAGGUGGUAUUGAUACUUCAAAAAAAAAAUUACAAGGAUUGCACAUAGAAUAAGCUACGCAUUCAAGAUUUGAUUAACAAGUUUUGUUGUACAUUGUUAGCGUGAUUUAUAUUUUUUUUAAAAUUGCAAAAUAACACUUAAUCAGAUGAAUAUAUAUAUAUAUAUGUGUGUGUGUGAUUAAUGUAUAAUACGAUUUGGUGUUUUUUUGUUUGA